Amblyraja radiata (thorny skate) is the source of this 520-nucleotide long non-coding RNA. RefSeq lists it as uncharacterized. The transcript is spliced from 3 exons. The record is from RefSeq and is a predicted model, not a curated record. NCBI's taxonomy places the organism in Eukaryota, Metazoa, Chordata, Chondrichthyes, Rajiformes, Rajidae.
AAAGUGUUAAUAUAUUUGACACAUCGCACGGCUUUAUGUAUUUAUUCUUAAUAAAUUUAAAGGGUCCCAUUGAUAUUUUUUCUUGUUAUUACUCGGCCAAAGUUCAAACAUGUACAGUGGUAAUAUUAUGUUGCAUUGUUUAUUGAAGUGUGAGGUUUAAUGUGAGGCAAUACCUCUGUGGAGUGUUUCGAAGGAAGCGGGCAGUCACUGUUUAUUUACAAGACCUGUAUUUAUGAAGAGUGGUCAUAUAAAACUUUUAUGAAAUACUUUGUGUACUUUUCAAACAGCAAAGGCUGCACUGAGAGUGCAGCUCUGGUCCCUUGUGUUUUAGGGCAGAGAUCAGUGGGAAUAAUACUCAUAACUGUCAUGUCGCACUGAUCCUUGGACGACGUGAGUUUGUUUUGGAAACUCAACACCAGGGCUGACCAGAAACAAUUACCUAACUUUUCAAACUUAUUCUCCCACGAGUGGCGUUGCAUACGUCUCUCUCCAUCUGACUCCAGCAGUCAAAACACAAAGU